RNAcentral lists this unclassified non-coding RNA (305 nucleotides) under plant metagenome. RNAcentral describes it as "partial contains 5.8S ribosomal RNA, internal transcribed spacer 2, and large subunit ribosomal RNA". The stretch from base 1 to 105 matches the Rfam family "5.8S ribosomal RNA", at positions 50 to 154 of the family's 154-position model. The record is from RNAcentral.
GAAAUGCGAUAAGUAGUGUGAAUUGCAGAAUUCAGUGAAUCAUCGAAUCUUUGAACGCACAUUGCGCCCUUUGGUAUUCCUUAGGGCAUGCCUGUUCGAGCGUCAUCUAAACCUUCAAGCCCUGCUUGGUGUUGGGUGCCUGUCCCGCCUCCGCGCGCGGACUCACCUCAAAUCCAUUGUCGGCCCCCGCGUCGGCCACGAGCGCAGCAGAAACGCGAACUCGUGAGCCCGUCCGGGCGGCUCCCAGAAGCUACACCCACCCAGUUUGACCUCGGAUCAGGUAGGGAUACCCGCUGAACUUAAGC